Oncorhynchus tshawytscha (Chinook salmon) is the source of this 5320-nucleotide long non-coding RNA. RefSeq lists it as uncharacterized. NCBI's taxonomy places the organism in Eukaryota, Metazoa, Chordata, Actinopteri, Salmoniformes, Salmonidae. The record is from RefSeq and is a predicted model, not a curated record. The transcript is spliced from 2 exons.
UGCUGACUGGCAAUCAUGUGAUGUUGUGUUCCUUAUAUUAUUUUGUCCGUUUAUUCAGUUGCAAACAAACAAGAAAGCAUUAAUGAAUAAUGACAAGGCCAUAGCGUUUAAUAUUUCAAGAACUGUGACAAUCCGAGUGAGUUUAGCAGCGCACUUUUAAAAUCAGAAGGGAGUUACGGGAGAUUCAGAGGUAGAACAAACAGUCUGUUGAAAACGAAAGCGAGAAAACAGCAUCGCGUAGGCUUGUCUAUUCGUUGUAGUAAAAUGACACAAUCAUUCAUCAAUAUGAAAAUACAUUAUUCUUAAAGUUAUGCUACAACGCGGAACAUGUAAAGUAUGUUAUUUCUACGUAAACACGUCAUAUUUAUAUUACCGCAGUCUGGAAGUAGAUUCCUCAGGGUGUCCAAGAUGGCGUCGCUGAGGGCGUGUUCUCUCGCUUGUCAAAGCAACAUUGAGGGUUAGGUGGUUUAACAGUCUUUCAUUGGCUAUCACUGUUGAAAGAAACUAACUACAACUUGUUUUAGCGGCAUAGGAUACGUUUAGAUUUCGUUUUUGUCAAGUUGAAUUGGAAGAACAGGACAGAAAGACAAUAAUAAACGGAAUAUCCAAGCCUCACAGAAGACGGCAGACAUGCUAGCUGGCCACGACGAGAACCAAAGCAGCAUGGAUACACAAGAUGCUGCGAGCUCAAGCAAGAGAAAGAACAAAACAGACCAGGAUGAAAUUCCUGCGACCUUUUUAUCUCAGACACAUUUCCAUGUCUGAACUUUUCUCUGCAAUCCAGUCCCUGUCUACUAAACAAGACGCCACGUUCUCCAGUGAGUCCAUCAGAGCGGGGCCACAGAAGAAACAUUAAAGAAGAUGGAUCAUUUGUCAGAAACUGUCAGUCAGCUUCACAAAAUUGUGAGCGAAAACGAGGAAAAUAUAACGUUCCUAGAGAAUGAGUUUUAGAAACUGCAACCCCAAAAUAAUGAGCUGUGAGAAUAUAGCUGAACUUCAAAGGUACUCUCGCAGGUGGAAUCUGAAAAUCCAAGGUGUAAAAGAGGUAGAGGAAUAUUAGGGAAGCAGUCAUUAAUAUCCUGGGAAAGGUGACUCCGUGCAUCAAAGACAAGCUAAGAGACGUGAUCGACUUGGGAAACGAAGGUAUGAUGGACCCCUCGCAAUAUCAUUUUGCGCUUAACUAUGCGCCAUUACAGGGACAUAAUCUGGAAAAUGACCAAGGGGAACAUGUUUCUGGACGAGAAGAAGCUCCGCAUCAAAGAGGCUCUGAUACCGCAGGAUCAGGCUGCCAGGGAGAAAGUGUGGCCGCUUAUACAGAAGGCAAGGCACGACAAGAGGAAAAUAAGGCUGGGUUCAAGGGCCCACACGCAUUUAUCGAAAAACGAAUGAUUAUUGGGUAACUCUGUUGACAUUAACCGAACUGGAACUGUGAGUACAGUUAAUGUACUGCCAUGAGUAAAUGUGCCGCUUGAACUAAGUUAACCUAUGAACACUUGCCAAAAAAAAGAAAAGGAAAUGAACAUAUUUUUCCUGUUAACCAUCGCUACCUCAGUUGAGCGUAAUUUUCGUCGGAGUAAUCCCUCUCAAGGUUCACUGUUUUAUUGUUCACAUUACCACUUCUGUUAUCUAAUUUGUUCUUUUUGUAUUUCUUUUUUUAAAUGCAGGAGGUAGUUUUCAACUCACUCAGUAUCCUUAGUCUGAAUGCUAGGGGUUUGAGAGAUCUUACAAAAAGGAAAGCCUUAUUUUUAUAUUGUAAACGCAGGAAACUCAUUUCGGGUGAAAGUGAUUUGAAAUUUUGGAAAUCACAAUGGGGAGAUAUGGUCUAUUUCAGUCAUGGAUCAAAUCAUUCUGGUGUUUUGACACUGACACAUUCACAAGUUUAAAGGUGACAUUCUAGAAUCCACAUCUUCACAGGAUGGGAGAUGGGUCAUAGUAACUGUUACACUUGACAAUGCUAUUUUCAUCAUCUGUAAUGUAAUAUGGACAUAACUCACAUGCUCCUAAUAAGACCCUUUUUACCCAAUUUACCAGAAAAGUACAGGAUUUACGCAACAAAUACUCAGAGGCUUUUCUAAUUAUUUCAAGGGAUUUUAAUUAAACACCUGAUGCAUCUGUUGAUCGUUUUCCUCCUAGAACGAGUCAAAGCCUUCAAAAUAGCAAUAUCAUCACUACAUUAUGCAAGGAUCUCUGUUGAUGAUGCCUGGCAUUAUUUCAAUCCGGAUACAAAGGGUUAUACCUGGACCAACAAAACUAUGUCACGUAAAUCUAGAAUAGAUUAUUCCUAAUUUCUCCCAUUUUGUUAUAGAUGUAGAUCAUCAGUUGGCUCCCUUUUCUGAUCACUUGAUUUCCCUGAAUUUGCAAGCUACUAAAAAAAAAUCUAAAAAAGGUACUGGUGGAUAUUGGAGAUUAAACACACUUAAAGAUCCUACUCUCAUUGGAAACAUCAAAUUGUUUUGCAAGUAAAGUCUUGGGUCAUGGAAGUAUUUGCAAUUUUUCAAAUAUAAAGUCAGAGUUGUUGCCAUUAAACGUGCCAGAGCUGAUGCAGAGCUGAUGCACUUAAAGAACCUUAGAGAAAAGGAGUUGAUGAGCAAGCUUGACAGAUUACCUUUCUUUAGAAAACUCAAGUUGAAGAGUCUGUAUUUAAGUUUUUACAACUAGAAUUAGAACAGCUUUACACGGACCUGGCAAAGGGUGCCUUUGUAAAGUCAAGAGCAAAAUGGAUUGAAGAGUGGGAAAGAAACACUAGUGACUUUUUUUUGCACUUGAAAAGAGAAACUACAAAAAAAAUCUAUAACUGCACUCUAAAUUAAUGUUUUAUGCAAAGAUCCCAUUACAAUAACAUUUGUAAAUGAUUUUUGUGAAACCUUUACAACUCACAAUUUCAGGAAGAUGGUUGGGAAAGCUACAUCUGCCACGUUCAGAAUUAAUGUCCCUGUAAUUGAGGAUGAUUUCCACUCAGUUUGCGAUUCACCUGUGUCAAUGAAAAAAGGGAAACCACCUGGCCCGGAUGACCUGUCAGUUGAAUUCUGUAGACAGUUUGAGUUACUAGAAGACCCUAUUUUUAACAUGUUUCAAGAUUGCAUUAAAAAUGGUGAAAUGAUCUCCACUAUGAAACAGGGCCUUAUUUCACUGAUUCCGAAGCCCGAUAAAGACCCUUCCCUCAUUGACAAUUGGAGAUCAAUUACUUUAUUAAAUACUGAUUACUAAUUGAUUGCUCUGGUUUAUUUUAAAAGAUUAAAAGGAAUAGAUACCAUUAUAAAUGAGACUCAAACAGGAUUUAUGAAGGGCCGUCACAUAAACUCUAACAUUCGUUUAGUCUUGGACCUUAUAGAUUAUUAAGAUGCAAUGGACUCAGAUGCAUUUGUCUUAUUUCUGGACUUCUGUAAAGCCUUUGACACAAUUGAAGAUGAAUCUCUUUAGGUCACUUAAACUUUUUGGAUUCUGUGAAAAUUAUGUCGAAGUCAUUCGCAUGUUUUACAAAGAUAUAAAAUAGUUCUGUGUUAAACCUUAAUAUGUCCAAAAGAUUCAGUAUCAACAGAAGUGUACGACAGGGAUGCCCAAUUUCGCCAUUUAUAGUCAUUUUGGUUGUUGAACUUCUAUCUCUAGAUAUUCUGAAUAAUGCAAAUCUGUACGGCUUAACCAUUUAACAAAGAAAUCCAAAUUUCCCAACUGGCUGAUGAUACUACUCUUUUUUUUAAGAGGCAAAGACCAGGUCGCCCAUGCCCUUAAUGCUAAAAUAGAAUUUUCUAUUGCAUCAGGAUUAAAACUGAAUGUUUCUAAAAUGUGAAAUCUUACCUUUAUUUGACUCUGAUAAAGAAAUAGAAAAUAUUUGUGUAAAGGACUGUGUUAAAUAUUUAGGAAUACAUCUGUCAAAACACCACGUAGUCAGACAUUUGAAUUUCUCCUAAAAUUAAGAAUAUAUUUAAUAAUUGGCUACAAAGAGAUCUUUCUAUACUUGGGAGAGUACUUCUGUCCAAGGCAGAGGGGCUGUCUCGUUUUGUGUACCCCUCAUUAUCUUUAUGUGUAAAUCCUUCUACUUGUAAAGAGAUCAAAAAUACCUUUCUUGACUUCAUCUGGAAAAAUAAGUCAAACUAAAAACCGUCAGUCCUCUAAUAAAAGAGCUGAAGGCAGUCUGGAAGUGUUGGAUUUUGACAUAAUGCUAUCAAGAUUAACUGGUUGAAGAGAUGUUUGAUCAGUACUGAUUCAAUAUGGUAUUUCAUUCCAAAUGUGUUUAAUAAGUUGGGAGGUCUUCAAUUUUUACUGAAACGUAAUUAUAUUCCUGAAAGAUCACCCGCUAAAUUGGCUAGGUUUCACCAACAAGCUUUAAUGGCCUGAAAUGUUUCCUGCACAAUUUUUCCCCACAAAGCUCUUUUGUGAAAUAAUUCAGACAUAACUGUAAGGAAUAAGUCAUUGUUCUACCCCAGCUGGCAUGAGAGGAAUAUUGACUUUGUUCUUGAUGUUUGACAACAGGGGUAAUAUUCUUACAUAUGAACAAUUUAUAACAUUGAAACAGUUUCCAAUACCUUUCAGAGUUUAUUUAUGUGAUCAAAGCCGUUACCAGUGGUCUAACUACACUAAUGAAAACUCAUCUUAGCUUUGGUAAUGCUCACACAGUUUAUCCAGAACUCAGAUUGGUGUGGGCUUACUUGAGAUCUUGUUGUAAUAAAUAUAUAAGACAAAUUCUCCAUUCACAAAACCAAGUUACACAGAGAGGAAUAUUUCUGGAACAUGUUUAUUCCUGACAUUGUGUGGGAAAAAAAACCAUGGUUAAGGCCUUACAAAUAGUGUAUACCAAACAAAUUUAAGGAAGUGCACUUUCAUUUUACAUAGAAUUACAUGGAUAUAUUUUGUGUUAUCCAAAUGUGGCUAUUGAUGGAUGAUAUCUGCGUUUUCUGUGAAAAAGGUGAGAAUCUGUCUCACUUGUUCUUUGAAUGUAAAUUUGUGUCAGAAUUUUGGGAAAACCUUGCAGAACACUACCAUUAUGAACACUACCCAUGUUUUUGACAUAAAGGAUAGAAUAAUGUUACUAUUGCAAUGAUAACAAGACCAUUGAAAUUGUUUUUUAAAAUGUAUUCUUGUUGCCAAAUACUAUACACAAAUUCCCAAAUUACACAUUUGAUUGAAUGUAACUUAUUAAAACAUUAACCCUAGUGAAUAACAAGAAUAACAUUUAUGAAUCAUUAUGAGAUUUGUUCAGUGAUUACAAUUGCACUAGAAUUGUUUAUAUUUUAUGUCAUUGAUUUGUUGUAUGUUUCAGUAUUUUUUUUGUUAUACCUUCUGUUUUGUAUGAUGUAGCAAUCAAUGUAAGUUGUUGAUCUGU